GCCAUUCGUCGCAUUCUACGCCAGGUGGCUACCAACAAUGUCCUGGCGCAGUACAGCCUGAGGGGGAGGAGAGCAAAAAAGCCUUUCCAGAACUUAACCCUUUGCAAAAUUAUAAUGGAGGCCUGCAUGCAGAACUUCCCUGGCAAGAAGGUAGCUGAUAUUGAGGAGUGCAUUGGGCAUGCACUGAAGUUUGCACCACACAGACGGUCAGCUGGUCCUCAAGAUUGAAGACGUACACCAACUUCUAUGCACACGCACCCGUUUUUGGCAUUUCUAAAAUUUUUCUUAUUUUUUGCCUUUAUUGUAUUUUAUUAAGAAAUAGUUUUCAUAAUUGUCUAUAGUUGUCAGAUGUUUUAUAAUGUAUAAUAAUGUUGCACUGUGUUGCUGAUGUCCUUACCAA
This is a long non-coding RNA of Neoarius graeffei (lesser salmon catfish), 400 nucleotides long. RefSeq lists it as uncharacterized. The record is from RefSeq and is a predicted model, not a curated record. Lineage: Eukaryota; Metazoa; Chordata; Actinopteri; Siluriformes; Ariidae. The transcript has 3 exons.